AGUCGACCGGAAUCCCCGAGAGGAGCAAUGGCUCUAACAAUGCUGCUCUUGCUGGUGGCGGCCGCCCUGACCCUGAUCGAGACCCGCGCGGGCCCACACUCGCUGCGGUAUUUCCACACCGCUGUGUCCCGGCCCGGACUCGGGGAGCCCCGGUUCAUCAUCGUCGGCUACGUGGACGACACGCAGUUCGUGCGCUUCGACAGCGACGCGGAAAAUCCGAGGAUGGAGCCGCGGGCGCGGUGGAUGGAGCAGGAGGGGCCGGAGUAUUGGGAGCGGGAGACACAGGUCGCCAAGGGCCAUGAGCAGAGUUUCCAAGGGAGCCUGAGGACUGCACAGAGCUACUACAACCAGAGCAAGGGCGGCUCUCACACACUCCAGUGGAUGUAUGGCUGUGACAUGGGGUCCGACGGGCGCCUCCUCCGCGGGUACCUGCAGUUCGCCUAUGAAGGCCGCGAUUACAUCGCCCUGAACGAAGACCUGAAAACGUGGACGGCGGCGGACAUGGAGGCACAGAUCACCCGACGCAAGUGGGAGCAGGCUGGUAUUGCAGAGAGAGACCGGGCCUACCUGGAGGUCGCAUGAGGCUCCGCAAAUACCUGCAGCUCGGGAAGGAGACGCUGCUGCGCACAGGUGCAGGGGCCGCGGCUGGGGCUCAGUCCUGGGGAAGAAGAAACCCUCAGCUGGGGUGGUGCCCCUGGCUCAGAGGGGAGAGAGUGACCCUGGGUCUCCUGAUCCCUCAUCACAGUGACUGCACUGACUCUCCCAGGGCUCAGCCUUCUCCCUGGACAGUGCCCAGGCUGUCUCAGGAGGGAAGGAGAGAAUUUCCCUGAGGUAACAACAGCUGCUCCCUUCAGUUCCCCUGUAGCCUCUGUCAGCCAUGGCCUCUCCCAGGCCGGGUUCUCAGCCUACACCCACUGUCUGUAGACACUGACUCCUGUCCUGCUGAGUGUGUCAGCCCUUACACCUCAGGACCUGAAGUCUCCUUUACCCGAUGGGAGACAUGGACAUCUACACUAGGCUGGUUCCCCCAGUUUCUAGAACUUUCCAAAGAAUACAGUCUACCAGAUCCUUCCCUGUCUGUGGGGUUUGCAUCCUUUGACACCCAAUUCUAUCUAUUCCUGCAAUGGUGAAUAGUCACAUGAGCCAUUAUGGGUUACCCUAAACAAAUACUUUUCUUGUGU
Mus musculus (house mouse) is the source of this 1181-nucleotide RNA transcript. It is a transcript of the gene named histocompatibility 2, Q region locus 5, with no coding region annotated. Lineage: Eukaryota; Metazoa; Chordata; Mammalia; Rodentia; Muridae. The record is from RefSeq and is marked validated. The transcript has 3 exons.